UACGUAGGGCGCAAGCGUUGUCCGGAAUUAUUGGGCGUAAAGAGCUCGUAGGCGGCCUGUUACGUCUGCUGUGAAAUCCCGGGGCUUAACCCCGGGCGUGCAGUGGAUACGGGCAGGCUGGAGGCAGGCAGGGGAGAACGGAAUUCCUGGUGUAGCAGUGAAAUGCGUAGAUAUCAGGAGGAACACCGAUGGCGAAGGCAGGUCUCUGGGCUGACACUGACGCUCAUGCACGAAAGCGUGGGGAGCAAACAGG
Molecule: ribosomal RNA, 253 nt
Filed under: uncultured bacterium
Lineage: Bacteria
Description: partial 16S ribosomal RNA
Rfam family: Bacterial small subunit ribosomal RNA
Source: RNAcentral